UACAGAGGUCCCAAGCGUUGUUCGGAUUCAUUGGGCGUAAAGGGUGCGUAGGUGGCGCCGUAAGUCAGGUGUGAAAUCUCGGGGCUUAACUCCGAAACUGCAUUUGAUACUGCGGUGCUUGAGGACUGGAGAGGAGACUGGAAUUUACGGUGUAGCGGUGAAAUGCGUAGAUAUCGUAAGGAAGACCAAUUGCGAAGGCAGCUUACUACACAGUUAUUGACGCUGAGGCACGAAAGCGUGGGGAUCAAACAGG
RNAcentral lists this ribosomal RNA (253 nucleotides) under uncultured bacterium. RNAcentral describes it as "partial 16S ribosomal RNA". It matches the Rfam family "Bacterial small subunit ribosomal RNA", at positions 524 to 776 of the family's 1533-position model. The record is from RNAcentral.